CCUACGGGGGGCUGCAGUGGGGAAUUUUGCGCAAUGGGCGAAAGCCUGACGCAGCAACGCCGCGUGGAGGAUGAAGGUCUUUGGAUUGUAAACUCCUGUCGGCAGGGAAAAAGGCCUCUGGCCACACCAGAGGAUUGAUUGUACCUGCGGAGGAAGCCCCGGCUAACUCUGUGCCAGCAGCCGCGGUAAUACAGAGGGGGCAAGCGUUAUUCGGAAUUAUUGGGCGUAAAGGGCGCGUAGGCGGUCGGACAAGUGGAAGGUGAAAUCCCCGGGCU
Molecule: ribosomal RNA, 275 nt
Filed under: uncultured bacterium
Lineage: Bacteria
Description: partial 16S ribosomal RNA
Rfam family: Bacterial small subunit ribosomal RNA
Source: RNAcentral